This 468-nucleotide ribosomal RNA is filed under the name uncultured bacterium. RNAcentral describes it as "partial 16S ribosomal RNA". It matches the Rfam family "Bacterial small subunit ribosomal RNA", at positions 28 to 507 of the family's 1533-position model. The record is from RNAcentral.
GACGAACGCUGGCGGCGUGCUUAACACAUGCAAGUCGAACGGAAAGGCCCUGCUUUUGUGGGGUGCUCGAGUGGCGAACGGGUGAGUAACACGUGAGUAACCUGCCCUUGACUUUGGGAUAACUUCAGGAAACUGGGGCUAAUACCGGAUAGGAGCUCCUGCUGCAUGGUGGGGGUUGGAAAGUUUCGGCGGUUGGGGAUGGACUCGCGGCUUAUCAGCUUGUUGGUGGGGUAGUGGCUUACCAAGGCUUUGACGGGUAGCCGGCCUGAGAGGGUGACCGGCCAACAUGGGAAUGGGGUACGGGCCAGAAUCCUACGGGGGGCAGCAGGGGGGAAUAUUGCCAAAUGGGGGGGAGGCUGAUGGAGGAAAGCCGGGGGGGGGAAGAAGGCCUUUGGGGUGGAAACCGCUUUCGCCUGGGAAGAAGCGUGAGUGACGGGAAUGGGUAAAGAAGGAACGGCUAACUACGUG